RNAcentral lists this ribosomal RNA (139 nucleotides) under uncultured bacterium. RNAcentral describes it as "partial 16S ribosomal RNA". It matches the Rfam family "Bacterial small subunit ribosomal RNA", at positions 355 to 509 of the family's 1533-position model. The record is from RNAcentral.
UCGGGAAUAUUGCGCAAUGGAGGAAAACUCUGACGCAGUGACGCCGCGUAUAGGAAGAAGGUUUUCGGAUUGUAAACUAUUGUCGUUAGGGAAGAGAAAGGACAGUACCUAAGGAGGAAGCUCCGGCUAACUACGUGCC